GACAGAGGGUGCAAACGUUGUUCGGAAUUACUGGGCGUAAAGCGCGUGUAGGCGGCUAUGCAAGUCGGGUGUGAAAUCCCACGGCUCAACCGUGGAAGUGCACUCGAAACUACGUAGCUGGAGUUCUGGAGAGGAAGGUGGAAUGCUCGGUGUAGAGGUGAAAUUCGUAGAUAUCGAGUGGAACACCGGUGGCGAAGGCGGCGUCCUGGACCAACACUGACACUGAGGAGCGAAAGCCAGGGGAGCAAACGGG
RNAcentral lists this ribosomal RNA (253 nucleotides) under uncultured bacterium. RNAcentral's name for it is "partial 16S ribosomal RNA". It matches the Rfam family "Bacterial small subunit ribosomal RNA", at positions 524 to 776 of the family's 1533-position model. The record is from RNAcentral.